UGUAUGAAAAUAAGAUUGAUUUGAUUUGUGAUAUUUCUCCAAAAGCCAUACAGAAUGACUGAUCUCCUAUGUAGAAUAUGCCUGGCACGUGAUACUCGUAUGUGUACAACGUACAACACGCCACUGGAAGUGCUUUAUCAAAAAAUCACAAAUAUACCUCUUAAAACAAAAGACGGAAGACCACACAUGGUGUGUUACGUCUGCUACCAUUUAUUAAGCAAGUGUCACAAAUUAAUUGAAAGUGCCGUUAAAACUGACAAAGUUCUUCAACGACUAUGUAGCAGUGGUAUACAGUUAACCGAGCAGCAUAUUGCAGCGAUAGACAAGGCUUUCUUACUCACACCAUUAACUAAGUCACGCGUUAUAAAUGUAAACGCAAUAAGCGAUUCAGACGGAGUCAGUAUAGAAGUGGCUGAAGUCAAGAGAGAAAUUGAAGAAGAUAAGCCUAUAUAUUAUGAGGUGGAAGUUAAAGAAAAAGCUGAUUCUUUAGGUUUUGACGGUAUAAAUAAUACAGAACAUAGUUCAAAACAGUACGCUUGUACUAUCUGUGGUCAUUGCUUGCUCACCAAAGCUGAAGCUAGGAAGCACUACAAAUGGCAUGGCACCUCCGAAGAACCCUAUCUGGACUGUCUGAAUUAUUUAUUUGGCGCUCCACCAACUGUGGAAGUCACUAUGCAACCUAUCACGGCGCCAACUGACAGCAAAGAAGUAAUAAAGGCGCCAACUGACCACAAAGAAGCUCUACCGGCGCCAACUGGCAGCAUACAAGCACUAACGGCAUCAACUGGCAGCGUACAAGCAGUGACGGCGCCAACUGGCAGCAAAGAAUCACUAACGGCACAAACAGGCACCAUACAAACAGCCACUGCACCAACUUACAGCAUACAAGCGGUGACGGCGCCCACUGACCACAAAGAAUCACUCGCGGCGCCAAAAAAAUCACUAACGGCGCCAACUGGCAGCAUACAAGUGGUGACGGCGCCAACUCAUAGCAGAGAAGUGCUGAAGUCUCCGCAAACUAUCAUAGCGUCCGACACUAGUCCAACGAAGAUUGAAAAUGAUGAAGAGAUGCCUCAGAAAGAAGAUAUGGACGAAAAAUCAAAUUUACCCGAAGAACUAAAAGAUGAAUCGCCAAAAAUUUACAAAAACGAAAAAGAAUUAAUGAUAGAAAUGAAAAUAGACGUCUAUAAAAAAAUUGUGAAACCAAAGAAUAUAAUAAAGAAAAAAGAAGAAACUGCGAAACCAAAUAAUACAAUAAAGAAAAAAGGAAAAGCAACUAACAGUGAAGUGACUAUAAAAAAGAAAAAACUCACUAAAAACAUGAAACCAAAUAGAAAAAAUGAAACAAAAUUAACCGUUAGUAAUAAUUUAAGCGAAAACGAGGUAUAUUGUGACGUCCCAUUACUUAAAUCGGAUGACCCGUUAGACACAAAUUAUAAAGAUAAUACACCAAAUACAGAUAAAUUAGACAGUUCAGACACGAAUAUGGACACGGAAGAUAUAGAACAAAAUGAUGAAAAUGAAACGAAAAAUAUUACAGCAACAGAAAAAACAUUUCCAUGUGAUACUUGUAAAAAAGUCUCCCCAAGUAAUGCGAGGUUGAAACGCCAUAGACGUGUGCACACGGGCGAGAAACCAUUCUCAUGCGAACAUUGCUCGAAAACAUUCGCAGAAAAAUGUAACCUAAGUCGACAUUCCCGAAUCCAUUCCGGAGAAAAGCCAUUCGAGUGCGAUCUCUGCGGAAAAUGUUUCUCGAUUAAAACUCACUUGAGCGUUCACUUACUCACGCACAAUAAUUCUAGUAAAAUACAAACUAAAAGCACUGUGUCGUGCGAUGCUUGUGGAAAAAUAUACACGCACAAAAUGAAUUUAGCACGGCACAUUUCAACAAAGCACGCCAGGACACAUACAGGUGAAAAACCGUUCUCAUGUAACUAUUGCGAUUACAAGACUGCUGUAAAAUCAGCUUUAAUUAUACAUAUACGGACACAUACAGGUGAAAAACCGUUCUCAUGUAACUAUUGCGAUUACAAGACUGCUGUAAAAUCUCAUUUAAUUAGACAUAUACGGACACAUACAGGUGAAAAACCGUUCUCAUGUAACUAUUGCCAUUAUAAGACCACUCGAAAAUCAACUUUAAUUAGACACGAAAGGACACAUACAGGUGAAAAACCGUUCUCAUGUAACUAUUGCGAUUACAAGACUGCUGUAAAAUCAGCUUUAAUUAUACAUAUACGGACACAUACAGGUGAAAAACCGUUCUCAUGUAACUAUUGUGAUUACAAGGCUGCUGUAAAAUCAGAUUUAAUUAAACAUAUACGGACACAUACAGGUGAAAAACCGUUCUCAUGUAACUAUUGUCAUUACAAGGCUGCUGUAAAAUCAGCUUUAAUUAAACAUAUACGGACACAUACAGGUGAAAACCCGUUCUCAUGUAACUAUUGCGAUUACAAGACUGCUGUACAAUAUCAUUUAACUACUCAUAUACGGACACAUGCAGGUGAAAAGCCGUUCUCAUGUACCUAUUGUCAUUACAAGACUGCUAAAAAAGGUAGUUUAAAUACUCAUAUACGGACACAUACAGGUGAAAAACCGUUCUCAUGUAACUAUUGCAAUUAUAAGACCACCGUAAAAUCAAGUUUAAUUAAACACGAAAGGACACAUACAGGUGAAAAACCGUUCUCAUGUAACUAUUGCAAUUAUAAGACCACUCAAAAAUCAACUUUAAUUAAACACGAAAGGACACAUACAGGUGAAAAACCGUUCUCAUGUAACUAUUGCCAUUAUAAGACCACUCAAAAAUCACAUUUAAUUAAACACGAAAGGACACAUACAGGUGAAAAACCGUUCUCAUGUAACUAUUGUCAUUACAAGGCUGCUGUAAAAUCAGAUUUAAUUAAACAUAUACGGACACAUACAGGUGAAAAACCGUUCUCAUGUAACUAUUGCCAUUACAAGACUGCUGUAAAAUCAGGUUUAAUUAAACAUAUACGGAUACACACAGGUGAAAAACCGUUCUCAUGUACCUAUUGUCAUUACAAGACCGCAUCAAAAUGUAAUUUAACUGCUCAUAUACGGACACAUAAAGGUGAAACACCGUUCUCAUGUAACUAUUGUCAUUACAAGACUGCUAAAAAAGAUAAUUUAAUUAGACAUAUACGGACACAUACAGGUGAAAAACCGUUCUCAUGUAACUAUUGCCAUUAUAAGACUACUAAAAAAUCAACUUUAAUUAAACACGAAAGGACACAUACAGGUGAAAAACCGAUUUGAGGUAAACAGUCACUAUAGAAAAAAAUUCUUCAGUAAUUAUUUCAGUCGGUUGUAGGUAUAGUUAGUAGUAUAAAAGCAGUAAAAGAUGUAGCUAAAAGUCUUUGGUGUAAGUAUACUAUACAGGGUGGAAACGAUAAGUGAUCUCACUCGAUUAUUUCUAAACUAUACAAGAUAUCGAAAAAUUGAUUACUGAUCCUGAAAGUGCUUACCGCGUACGUGCUUACCCAGUUUUUGGAUAUCUUGUAUAGUAUUUAAUAUUAUGUGGUUUUACUAAAUGUAUGGAAGCUGGAAACAUUGAAUUUUCGGAUAGAUCCAUUUAUUUUGUAACCUAUUAUUGGUACCGUUGGAUAGAGCUCGGGAAGCACUUUCAGGAUCAGUAACUAGUUUUUGGAUAUCUUGUAUAAAAUAAUCGAGUGAGACCACUUAUCGUUUCCACCCUGUAUAGGGAGACACACAGAAAAGGCCUAAGUUACCAACAACGAGAAUCGAACAUAGGACCACUUAAGGCAACGUUAGUAGGUCGAGAAGGUACGUCAUAUUUUUCUUAGGUUCCGUUAGUAUUAAGGUUUAAACACAAUACUUUCAGAAUCGUAACUGAGUAAUAUAUUUUUUUAAUUGAUUUUCUCAGCCUUUAACUAAACUGUAUUUCUCAAUUAUUAUUGACAUUAUAUUCUAAUGAUGAAAGUUCAUUCAUGAACAUGAUUUUGAAAUUUUAAGAAUUUGAGAUAUUAUUAUAGUUUUAUGUACAGUCGCGGAAUGAAAAGGUUCGUCACCUUAGUGUCGGUUUUCGCUUGCACUAGGUACUGUAAGAGUCAAACCUGCCAACAUAACAGUGCAAGAAACAGUGCUGCUAACAUUUAAAUAAAUAUGACGUUUGCUAACGAAUAAGGUUUUGCUUGUUUAUUUUUCUAUCCCAUCAGUGCAAUGCAAUGAUGACAUUGACCAAUUGACAAUAGUUUUUUUUAUUUAAAAGAAAUAAUAAUGGCAGGUUGAACCAACAAGAAGGUUUUAGUUUAUCAAUCAUAAUUAAUCUUCUUGACAAGAUAAAUCGUCAAACAACUUUGAUCUGAAUAAUUUUGAACUUUACUGACGAACAUUUAAAGAUUAUUUUCUCUAACUCGAGAUUAUUCUGUAACAUAGUUUCAAAAGGUAAUAUGUACUCGCGAUUCGUUGAAGGAAUCAAUUUGAAAACUGACGAACCUUUUCAUUCCGUGACUGUACCUAAUUAUAAGGUAUUUUAACUAUGUUCUUUACUAGACAAAAAAAAAAACAUCAAAGCUAAUAAAAUGUUGUGUUUGUAUUAACUCGGAACUAUUUAUUACUAAUGAAGUCUUGAUUACCAACAAUACCUAUUUUUUUAUGAUUGACCUAAAAUGUAUACUUUCCCAUUUUUGUAAUUCAU
Molecule: RNA transcript, 4675 nt
Organism: Ostrinia nubilalis (European corn borer)
Lineage: Eukaryota; Metazoa; Arthropoda; Insecta; Lepidoptera; Crambidae
Gene name: zinc finger protein 271-like
Exons: 7
Source: RefSeq, a predicted model, not a curated record